This 429-nucleotide unclassified non-coding RNA is filed under the name Cordylanthus rigidus subsp. rigidus. RNAcentral's name for it is "partial external transcribed spacer". The record is from RNAcentral. Lineage: Eukaryota; Viridiplantae; Streptophyta; Magnoliopsida; Lamiales; Orobanchaceae.
AUUGGCCUGUGUUGGCGCGUUGGAUCCCUGCUUAGGCAGCGACAACGUUGCACGCAGGCCUCUUCAGUUGUUGGCCCGAGUACUUCUCGGCCAUCGUCGGUUUCUCGUGUUGGAUACCUAUUGGGAGGGCAUUAUUCGGUCGGAAAUGAUGAGCUUCCGCCUUUUGCCGUGCCCCCUCGGGGAUGCGGUGUCGGGCGGACCUCGAGGCACACUUUGUGAACCACGGCCCUUGCACGGUUCUGUGCUCGGGCUGUUGGGCCAUGCUGUCGUGCGCGAUCUCUCGGAUACGGAACAUUGUGCGGGCACGAGGUCCUCGGCCUCUAUCAUGCCCAAACUUCGAGCGUCCUACGCUUCGUGCGAAUGACUCCCGCCUGCGUGUUGACCGGGUCCCCGUGGCCCGUCUCAUGCGCUUGCGGCGUCCGUUGGGAA